This 475-nucleotide ribosomal RNA is filed under the name uncultured bacterium. RNAcentral describes it as "bacterial SSU rRNA". It matches the Rfam family "Bacterial small subunit ribosomal RNA", at positions 27 to 518 of the family's 1533-position model. The record is from RNAcentral.
GGACGAACGCUGGCGGCGUGCCUAACACAUGCAAGUCGAGCGAGGAGAGUCCUUCGGGAUGAUCCUAGCGGCGGACGGGUGAGUAACACGUGGGCAACCUGCCUCAUAGAGAGGAAUAGCCUUCCGAAAGGGAGAUUAAUACCUCAUAACAUUGCAGUUUCGCAUGGAACAGCAAUUAAAGGAGCAAUCCGCUAUGAGAUGGGCCCGCGGCGCAUUAGCUAGUUGGUGAGGUAACGGCUCACCAAGGCGACGAUGCGUAGCCGACCUGAGAGGGUGAUCGGCCACAUUGGGACUGAGACACGGCCCAGACUCCUACGGGAGGCAGCAGUGGGGAAUAUUGCACAAUGGGGGAAACCCUGAUGCAGCCAACGCCGCGUGAGUGAUGACGGCCUUCGGGUUGUAAAGCUCUGUCUUCAGGGACGAUAAUGACGGUACCUGAGGAGGAAGCCACGGCUAACUACGUGCCAGCAGCAGC